This 235-nucleotide ribosomal RNA is filed under the name uncultured bacterium. RNAcentral's name for it is "partial 16S ribosomal RNA". It matches the Rfam family "Bacterial small subunit ribosomal RNA", at positions 97 to 334 of the family's 1533-position model. The record is from RNAcentral.
GGCGGACGGGUGAGUAAUGCAUAGUUAAUCUGCCCUUUAGAGGGGGAUAACAGUUGGAAACGACUGCUAAUACCCCAUACUCCUUUUACAUUAAUUGUAAUUGGGAAACGUUUUUUCGCUAAAGGAUGAGACUAUAUGGUAUCAGGUAGUUGGUGGGGUAAGAGCCCACCAAGCCAAUGACGCCUAGCUGGUCUGAGAGGAUGAUCAGCCACACUGGAACUGAGACACGGUCCAG